CCUACGGGGCGCAGCAGUGGGGAAUAUUGGGCAAUGGGCGAAAGCCUGACCCAGCAACGCCGCGUGAAGGAAGAAGGCUUUCGGGUUGUAAACUUCCUUUGACAGGGAAGAGCAGAAGACGGUACCUGUCGAAUAAGCCACGGCUAACUACGUGCCAGCAGCCGCGGUAAUACGUAGGUGGCAAGCGUUAUCCGGAUUUACUGGGUGUAAAGGGCGUGUAGGCGGGGACGCAAGUCAGAUGUGAAAACCAUGGGCUCAACCUGUGGCCUGCAUUUGAAACUGUGUUUCUUGAGUACUGGAGAGGG
RNAcentral lists this ribosomal RNA (305 nucleotides) under uncultured bacterium. RNAcentral's name for it is "bacterial SSU rRNA". It matches the Rfam family "Bacterial small subunit ribosomal RNA", at positions 338 to 658 of the family's 1533-position model. The record is from RNAcentral.